This is a non-coding RNA of Paramuricea clavata, 321 nucleotides long. Lineage: Eukaryota; Metazoa; Cnidaria; Anthozoa; Malacalcyonacea; Plexauridae. The record is from the annotation of a GenBank genome assembly.
CCUCUUGAAAGCAACAUCUUGCAUCCAGGUAGGUUCUGCGCAGAAACUGCCUCAUAUAACGGUGUAUUAAAACCCAUGCAAACACUGUUCACAUCUACACCACUUUCAAUCAAUAAACCAAGACACAACACACCAGAGUGGCGUGCAGCGAAGUAGAUAGGUGGGCGUGUAUCAAGUGAAUGAAGUGAUACAUUAUUUUCAAUAAGUAACUUUGCACAUUCAUAUUGAUCAUCAUAGCAAGCUGCAGCCAAUGCUGAUCUCUUUGUAUCAAUGUUAACACCUAAUGGGAAAGGUAUGUAAUCAGGAGCCAGUUGUAUGUAC